Molecule: ribosomal RNA, 258 nt
Filed under: uncultured bacterium
Lineage: Bacteria
Description: partial 16S ribosomal RNA
Rfam family: Bacterial small subunit ribosomal RNA
Source: RNAcentral
UGGCGGACGGGUGAGUAACGCGUGGGUAACCUGCCUUGCACUGGGGGAUAACACUUAGAAAUAGGUGCUAAUACCGCAUAAGCGCACGGUCCCGCAUGGGACAGUGUGAAAAACUCCGGUGGUGCAAGAUGGACCCGCGUCUGAUUAGCUGGUUGGCGGGGUAAAGGCCCACCAAGGCGACGAUCAGUAGCCGGCCUGAGAGGGUGGACGGCCACAUUGGGACUGAGACACGGCCCAAACUCCUACGGGAGGCAGCAG